AGCAUUACAGAUAACAUGGAGUUCGCUCUUCAAAACCUCAGCAAUCUCCCCAGACCAUGCAUCUAUAAUGCUCAGAUCUCGCUACCUGAACCGUUGGAAGCAAAAGAGACUCUGGCACGAAGUUUGUAUCCUUGGAGAGCCUUCCUAGAAAGGUACGGUCCUUUCCCGAUGAUGUACUGGCAAUGGGACCUCAUUG
Pocillopora damicornis (cauliflower coral) is the source of this 196-nucleotide long non-coding RNA. The record is from RefSeq and is a predicted model, not a curated record. Lineage: Eukaryota; Metazoa; Cnidaria; Anthozoa; Scleractinia; Pocilloporidae.